GAUGAACGCUGGCGGCGUGCCUAACACAUGCAAGUCGAGCGAAAGCACGAGAAGCGUUCGUCUCUACGGUUAGCGGCGGGCGGGUGAGUAACACGUGGAUAACCUACCUAUUAUUCUGGGAUAACCUCGUGAAACCGGUUCUAAUACCGGAUAAUAGUACGUACGGCUUGGUUCAAAAGUUAAAGACGGCUUUCCCGUCUCAUAUAGAUGGAUCCGUGUUAAAUUAGCUAGUUGGUAAGGUAACGGCUUACCAAGGCGACGAUGCAUAGCUGACCUGAGAGGGUGAUCAGCCACACUGGAACUGAGACACGGUCCAGACUCCUACGGGAGGCAGCAGUAGGGAAUCUUCGACAAUGGGCGAAAGUCUGACGGAGCCAUGCCGCGUGAGUGAUGAAGGUCUUCGGAUCGUAAAUCUCUGUUGUUCGGAAAGAAAAUAUGCGUAUGUAUCCGUUCACAUCUUGACGGUACCUAAACAGUAAGCACCGGCUAACUACGUG
Molecule: ribosomal RNA, 497 nt
Filed under: uncultured bacterium
Lineage: Bacteria
Description: partial 16S ribosomal RNA
Rfam family: Bacterial small subunit ribosomal RNA
Source: RNAcentral